Molecule: unclassified non-coding RNA, 969 nt
Filed under: Hevea brasiliensis (rubber tree)
Lineage: Eukaryota; Viridiplantae; Streptophyta; Magnoliopsida; Malpighiales; Euphorbiaceae
Source: RNAcentral
AAUGGUACGGAGCUCCAUUUGGCUAGAAAAAAUGAAGGAAAAUGUGUUAGUCCUUAAAGAUACAGUUAAACAAUUGUAUAGACAAAGGAAAAGUCAAAUGCUGAUCAUGCAGUCAAGUAACUUAUGCCAUAUACUCGCUAAGGAAACACAAUAGCAGAACCACCAAUUGACACACCAUAUCCCUAGAAUUUUCCACCCUCCCUCCUCUCAUUCUAUGAACGGGGAAAAAGAGUAAGAAUCGAUUGAACACACAAAUGUUGCUUAAUGAUCAGGUCACAUCUAACAAUUUCUUCCAAAUAAAAUUAUUGGAUUUUUUGGGAGUUAGCAAAAUCACAUUCCAUAAUCCCAACAGGAAAAUCAAAUUAUCAUACUGUUGCAUUGGGAACAUGGGGUAGACCUGCACUUUAUCUUUGAGUGGAACAAAGAAAUACUAACAGAUAAGAAGAUAUCUACUGAAGAAAUACUAAGAAAGGAGAGAGCAUAACUCAUGAUUAAUUUUAACAGUAUAUGAACAUGCCACCAAGCAUGCUUACUGAAAGCUGGACAUAAACUAGAAAGUCAAUAAGAUAAUUCAUAUGAUGAAUCUAAGAGAAGGUGUAGGAAUUAAUUAUGAUCAAUGAACAAAAAAAUUACCCUUUAGUUCUCCACAUAAACUUUCUGAAAAACUUGUUCAAAAAAGAAGUUAGAAUAACACUUUCGAACAUUACAGCUAAUCAAAUAUCUGAAUAAGGACAUUCAUCUAUCACAAAAAUAACCAGUGCCUUCAAAAAUGAAAAAUCUUUAACUUUACCCCAAAAGACAAGUGUAAUUAGAUACUUCCCAAACCAUACAUAAUGAAUCAGCUGAACCUACAAAGUCGGCACAAAUUCACACGCACAUGGAGAAGACCAAACAGUUGAUUAAUAUCUACAUGUCAAUGUAACUUUUUUUGUCUGGAAAGCACACCUUAUAACUUGCCCGUGCUGGAAC